This 500-nucleotide ribosomal RNA is filed under the name uncultured Gemella sp. RNAcentral describes it as "bacterial SSU rRNA". It matches the Rfam family "Bacterial small subunit ribosomal RNA", at positions 28 to 508 of the family's 1533-position model. The record is from RNAcentral. Lineage: Bacteria; Bacillati; Bacillota; Bacilli; Caryophanales; Gemellaceae.
GACGAACGCUGGCGGCGUGCCUAAUACAUGCAAGUCGAGCGAAGUUUUUCUGGUGCUUGCACCGGAAAAACUUAGCGGCGAACGGGUGAGUAACACGUAAAGAACCUGCCUCAUAGACUGGGACAACUAUUGGAAACGAUAGCUAAUACCGGAUAACAGCAUUAACCGCAUGGUUGAUGUUUAAAAGUUGGUUUUGCUAACACUAUGAGAUGGCUUUGCGGUGCAUUAGCUAGUUGGUGGGGUAAAGGCCUACCAAGGCGACGAUGCAUAGCCGACCUGAGAGGGUGAUCGGCCACACUGGGACUGAGACACGGCCCAGACUCCUACGGGAGGCAGCAGUAGGGAAUCUUCCGCAAUGGGCGAAAGCCUGACGGAGCAACGCCGCGUGAGUGAAGAAGGAUUUCGGUUCGUAAAGCUCUGUUGUUAGGGAAGAAUGAUUGUGUAGUAACUAUACACAGUAGAGACGGUACCUAACCAGAAAGCCACGGCUAACUACGUGC